This 500-nucleotide ribosomal RNA is filed under the name uncultured Acholeplasma sp. Its description in RNAcentral is "partial 16S ribosomal RNA". It matches the Rfam family "Bacterial small subunit ribosomal RNA", at positions 903 to 1382 of the family's 1533-position model. Lineage: Bacteria; Bacillati; Mycoplasmatota; Mollicutes; Acholeplasmatales; Acholeplasmataceae. The record is from RNAcentral.
CGCCUUGCCAGCCCGCUCAGAAACUCAAAUGAAUUGACGGGACCCCGCACAAGCGGUGGAUCAUGUUGUUUAAUUCGAUGAUACGCGAAGAACCUUACCAGGUCUUGACAUCCCCCGCGAUGCUUUAGAGAUAAAGCGGAGGUAUUCGGGGAGACAGGUGGUGCAUGGUUGUCGUCAGCUCGUGUCGUGAGAUGUUGGGUUAAGUCCCGCAACGAGCGCAACCCCUAUUGCUAGUUACCAUCAUUAAGUUGGGGACUCUAGCGAGACUGCCAGUGAUAAACUGGAGGAAGGUGGGGAUGACGUCAAAUCAUCAUGCCCCUUACGGCCUGGGCUACACACGUGCUACAAUGGUCGGUACAAAGGGUUGCCAAGCCGCGAGGUGGAGCUAAUCCCAUAAAACCGAUCGUAGUCCGGAUCGCAGUCUGCAACUCGACUGCGUGAAGUCGGAAUCGCUAGUAAUCGUGAAUCAGAAUGUCACGGUGAAUACGUUCCCGGGCCUU